UACGUAGGGUCCGAGCGUUGUCCGGAAUUAUUGGGCGUAAAGGGCUCGUAGGCGGUCUGUUGCGUCGGGAGUGAAAACUUACAGCUUAACUGUGAGCGUGCUUCCGAUACGGGCAGACUUGAGGUAUUCAGGGGAGAACGGAAUUCCUGGUGUAGCGGUGAAAUGCGCAGAUAUCAGGAGGAACACCGGUGGCGAAGGCGGUUCUCUGGGAAUAUCCUGACGCUGAGACGCGAAAGCGUGGGGAGCAAACAGG
This 253-nucleotide ribosomal RNA is filed under the name uncultured bacterium. RNAcentral's name for it is "partial 16S ribosomal RNA". It matches the Rfam family "Bacterial small subunit ribosomal RNA", at positions 524 to 776 of the family's 1533-position model. The record is from RNAcentral.